AGUAGUACGUUCGCAAGAAUGAAACUCAAAGGAAUUGACGGGGGCCCGCACAAGCGGUGGAGCAUGUGGUUUAAAUUCGAAGCAACGCGACGAACCUUACCAGGUCUUGACAUACUCAUAAAGGAUACAGAGAUGGAUAGAUAGUUAUAUGAGAUACAGGUGGUGCAUGGUUGUCGUCAGCUCGUGUCGUGAGAUGUUGGGUUAAGUCCCGCAACGAGCGCAACCCUUGUCGUUAGUUACCAUCAUUAAGUUGGGGACUCUAGCGAGACUGCCAGUGACAAGCUGGAGGAAGGCGGGGAUGACGUCAAAUCAUCAUGCCCCUUAUGACCUGGGCUACACACGUGCUACAAUGGAUGGUGCAGAGGGAAGCGAAGCCGCGAGGCGAAGCAAAACCCAUAAAACCAUUCUCAGUUCGGAUUGUUGUUUGAGGCUCGACUACAUGAAGUUGGAAUCGCUAGUAA
RNAcentral lists this ribosomal RNA (461 nucleotides) under uncultured bacterium. RNAcentral's name for it is "bacterial SSU rRNA". It matches the Rfam family "Bacterial small subunit ribosomal RNA", at positions 876 to 1341 of the family's 1533-position model. The record is from RNAcentral.